Molecule: ribosomal RNA, 253 nt
Filed under: uncultured bacterium
Lineage: Bacteria
Description: partial 16S ribosomal RNA
Rfam family: Bacterial small subunit ribosomal RNA
Source: RNAcentral
UACGAAGGGGGCUAGCGUUGUUCGGAUUUACUGGGCGUAAAGCGCACGUAGGCGGAUCGUUAAGUCGGGGGUGAAAUCCUGGAGCUCAACUCCAGAACUGCCUUCGAUACUGGCGAUCUAGAGUCCGGAAGAGGUGAGUGGAACUCCUAGUGUAGAGGUGGAAUUCGUAGAUAUUAGGAAGAACACCAGUGGCGAAGGCGGCUCACUGGUCCGGUACUGACGCUGAGGUGCGAAAGCGUGGGGAGCGAACUGG